CGUGCGUGUAUGUGUAAGUGUGUGACAGGUGGAGUCAACCGACAACCCUAGUCAAGACCCUGGCCUCUCUCUCGUUUGAGACCACGCCCUCUCCUCUCUUCUGCUCUGCACCGCCCCACCUGCCAGGAGAGCUGGCCCGUGAGCUCGCAGAGAUUGUCCUGCCUCUGCCUUGCCGGAGGACGCUGGGUUUCCACGCGUUCACGACCGCGCCAGCUUCUGUGGGGGCUCUGGGAGCCUCACUUCUGCAGAGGAAAGGCUGCAUCCCCUGAGUCACCUCCCCAGCCCUCUUGGUUUUGUCUAAGUCGCUGGUGAGCUGUGGUGAGCUGUGGCCAUCCAUCUUUGGGGCAGAACGUAAAAUGUACAGACCAUCCAGUUGCUUCUCGAAGAAGGCAAACUGUUGCAAAUGGUCUGUUGGAGACUCUCAUGUGGUGCGGUAUGAACACGGAACUUUUAUUGAAAGCCGCAGCUGAGUGCUGGCGCGUUGGUCACGGGUCAAUGUGAGUGACAAAGUCACAGCUCAUGCCAGAUGCUUUGCUGGGGCUUUGAUAAUUAUCACACUGAUCCCUCCAAAGGCCAUGAGAAACAGCCAGCACCAUCCUCAUUUCUACAUGAAGAAAGAGACGCAGAGAAGUCCAGGUCUUUGCCAUGAAAGCUAGAGGUGGCUGUCUUCCUUCUCUGUUCUCACGUGGUAGAGAGCAUGAGGGAGUUCCCCUGGAAUCCUUUACAAGGGCACUAACCCUGGUCACGAGGGCUACACCCUUAUCCUACCAGCCUUCUGAAGACUCCACGUCCUCCUCUCAUCGUAGGUGCUGGGGUGGGAGUAAAAUUCAACAAAUGAAUUUUGCUGUGCUGAAAAUCCAGGCUGGUCCAUUAAUUUCUUAAUAGUCUACUUACCCCUAUGUAUCCUGGAAUGUAUCAGAGAGAUAUGGGGCACUCCAGAUUAAGCCCUGAGAUUACAGGACCACACACUCUAGCCUGUUGCAAUGGAAACUCAUUUUUAGAAGCUUUGAGGGAUUCUUUCCUUGAAUAAGAAGAGUAAACCCAGAAACCAUAUGCGUCAUCUGCUCAAGGGAGCUGCUGAGGACCUGAGCUGCGUCCUGUUCUGCUGGCCUGAGACUGUGAGUUUU
Molecule: long non-coding RNA, 1127 nt
Organism: Mesocricetus auratus (golden hamster)
Lineage: Eukaryota; Metazoa; Chordata; Mammalia; Rodentia; Cricetidae
Exons: 4
Source: RefSeq, a predicted model, not a curated record